AUUGAACGCUGGCGGCAGGCCUAACACAUGCAAGUCGAGCGGAUGAAGGGAGCUUGCUCCUGGAUUCAGCGGCGGACGGGUGAGUAAUGCCUAGGAAUCUGCCUGGUAGUGGGGGAUAACGUCCGGAAACGGGCGCUAAUACCGCAUACGUCCUGAGGGAGAAAGUGGGGGAUCUUCGGACCUCACGCCAUCAGAUGAGCCGAGGUCGGAUUAGCUAGUUGGUGGGGUAAAGGCCUACCAAGGCAACGACCCGUAACUGGUCUGAGAGGCGGGUCAGUCACACUGGAACUGGAACACGGUCCAGACUCCUACGGGAGGCAGCAGUGGGGAAUAUUGGACAAUGAGCGAAAGCCUGAUCCAGCCAUGCCGCGUGUGUGAAGAAGGUCUUCGGAUGGUAAAGCACGUUAAGUUGGGAGGAAGGGCAGUAAGUUAAUACCUUGCUGUUUUGACGGUACCAACAGAAUAAGCACCGGCUAACUUCGUG
This 484-nucleotide ribosomal RNA is filed under the name uncultured bacterium. RNAcentral's name for it is "partial 16S ribosomal RNA". It matches the Rfam family "Bacterial small subunit ribosomal RNA", at positions 30 to 507 of the family's 1533-position model. The record is from RNAcentral.